Molecule: ribosomal RNA, 441 nt
Filed under: uncultured bacterium
Lineage: Bacteria
Description: partial 16S ribosomal RNA
Rfam family: Bacterial small subunit ribosomal RNA
Source: RNAcentral
CUACGGGUGGCUCCAGCCGGGAAUAUUGCGCAAUGGGCGAAAGCCUGACGCAGCGACACCGCGUGUGGGAUUAAGCUCUUCGGAGUGUAAACCACUGUGGCAGGGGAAGAAUUUUGACUGUACCCUGCUAGAAAGCACCUGCUAACUACGUGCCAGAAGCCUCGGUAAUACGUAGGGUGCAAGCGUUAUCCGGAUUUAUUGGGCGUAAAGAGUUCCGUCGGCGUCUUUGCAAGUUACUGGUUUAAUCCUGGGGCUCAACUCCAGACCAGCCAGUAAAACUACAAGGAUUGAGUUUGUUCGGGGAAGCUAGAAUUCUCGGUGGAGGGGUGAAAUCCGUAGAUAUCGAGAGGAAUACCAGUCGCGAAGGCGGGCUUCUAGAACAAUACUGACGCUCAUGGACGAAAGCCUGGGUAGCAAAUGGGAUUAGAUACCCCCGUAGUC